GACGAACGCUGGCGGCGUGCUUAACACAUGCAAGUCGAACGGAAAGGCCCUGCUUUUGUGGGGUGCUCGAGUGGCGAACGGGUGAGUAACACGUGAGUAACCUGCCCUUGACUUUGGGAUAACUUCAGGAAACUGGGGCUAAUACCGGAUAGGAGCUCCUGCUGCAUGGUGGGGGUUGGAAAGUUUCGGCGGUUGGGGAUGGACUCGCGGCUUAUCAGCUUGUUGGUGGGGUAGUGGCUUACCAAGGCUUUGACGGGUAGCCGGCCUGAGAGGGUGACCGGCCACAUGGGGACUGAGAUACGGCCCAGAGUCCUACGGGAGGCAGCAGUGGGAAAUAUUGCACAAUGGGCGGAAGCCUGAUGCAGAAACGCCGCGUGCGGGAUGACGGCCUUCGGGUUGUAAACCGCUUUCGCCUGUGACGAAGCGUGAGUGACGGUAAUGGAUAAAGAAGCACCGGCUAACUACGUG
RNAcentral lists this ribosomal RNA (468 nucleotides) under uncultured bacterium. RNAcentral's name for it is "partial 16S ribosomal RNA". It matches the Rfam family "Bacterial small subunit ribosomal RNA", at positions 28 to 507 of the family's 1533-position model. The record is from RNAcentral.